This 203-nucleotide unclassified non-coding RNA is filed under the name uncultured Trichoderma. RNAcentral's name for it is "sequence contains ITS1". Lineage: Eukaryota; Fungi; Ascomycota; Sordariomycetes; Hypocreales; Hypocreaceae. The record is from RNAcentral.
CCGAGUUUACAACUCCCAAACCCCUAUGUGAACGUUACCAAAAUGUUGCCUCGGCGGGGAAUUUAUUCAUGCCCCGGGCGCGUCGCAGCCCCGGACCAAGGCGCCCGCCGGAGGACCAACCAAAACUCUUUUGUAUGUCCCCUCGCGGGUUUUUAUAUCUGAGCCAUCUCGGCGCCUCUCGUAGGCGUUUCGAAAAUGAAUCA